GGUUGCAGCUCAGUGGUGGAGCGCUUGCCUAGCAUGCCAGAGGCCCUGGGUUUGAUACCCUGCACCA
This 67-nucleotide transfer RNA is filed under the name Marmota monax (woodchuck). Its description in RNAcentral is "tRNA.Ala". Lineage: Eukaryota; Metazoa; Chordata; Mammalia; Rodentia; Sciuridae. The record is from RNAcentral.